Molecule: long non-coding RNA, 5047 nt
Organism: Meleagris gallopavo (turkey)
Lineage: Eukaryota; Metazoa; Chordata; Aves; Galliformes; Phasianidae
Source: Ensembl
UAACUUUCCCCAGAUACUCUGGACCGUGACUUUAGUUUUAGCGCUUUUAGAGGAGUUUUAAAAAAGCAUGUUAAACUUUCUUGUAUUAAAAUGGGUCGGCUAAUAUGCUUUCUUGCACUAAAUAACUAUAAAAACAUCAAAGGUUUGGAUAACUGUUAGCUGUGUAUUUUGUAAUGCCUAUUGUAUUUCCAUUUUGUUAGCUCUAUUUAAAGAGCGGUAUUAUCAUGCCCCAUUUCCUGUUAGAUAGUUCUAUUUGUCUGCACUACAGGAGGCAGGAGAUUUUAGGUCCAGAAGAAAUUAUCUCUCAGUAAAUUACUCCUAACUCCAUUACUGAAUACUAAGCACUCUCCCCUGGCUGUGCGAGCAGCUUGAAGAGAUAACAUUGCAAUUUAUUUAUUUGUUUUGUCCCACGUAUAUAGGUGACACACGGACUCAUCUGAGCAGAGACAGCGAUAACUGACAGUGACCUCCCACCGGCCUUCGUGAAGCAGUUCCUCUCCAGCUGGAAUAGUCGGAGAUUUCCGUUCAAGGAAACAUCAGAAGAUGAAAAUGAGGGCAGUAGCCUUACUGGACCUUCAGUGGCAGCUCUGCGACCCGUGUUCCCUUGGGCCUCCUGCCCACCCCUAUAUAUGGCUUCCAUUUCCCUGCAGUAGAAAUGGUUUGGACACUUGCAAUCCUCUGCAAUGGGAGAAAUUUGCAGUGUGAGACAACUUUUGAUAAACAAGUUGAGCAGGAUUAUAACUGGACUGGAGAAGAGUUUAUAGAUGGAAAGCCUGUAAGUAGAGAAAUUCUUAUUUACCUGUUUAAAGUUAGCAGAUCUCUCUUUCCGAGUGGCAGCACAUCCAGAUUUAUCCUUCAGAAUAAGGAGGAAAGUAACUCCUAUGGUUGGCAAAUUUGCAGUGAGGACCCCAUUACAAGCUGCUGGUAUAUGUUAUAUGUUGUCUCAUAUAACUUGAAAUAAAGGAAUCACUCACACAUUCAUAAUCAAUACAAUUACCACUACUUUACAUGAAUUAAGUAAUUUGUAUGGUAUUACUGUUUGGGGCAUUUCUAUCCCUAUUCAAAGUACUUUUUCAGUAUUUCAGCCCUACUGAUGGUAAAGGCAGGUGCAUGCCAGUUACCCACAAAACCAAGGCAAAGCUCUAUGGGGAAACUCUUUUAUGUCUAUCUAGAUUUGAAUUUGUAGUCCCUUUCCAAUUACUGUGCUAAUUGUUUAAGAGAUUGCUAGACUAAAAAAGUUUUUAAUCGCUAAUCUGUUUUUGAAAGGAACUAUGGGCUCAAAACCCGAACUACAUACUUCUUAAAUUAAUUUUCUUCAUGAAUACUUCUUUCUCAAUACAGAUUUGUGAGUCAGAACACCCUACUGUGACUGUUUCUUUUGUCUUUUCUUCAAACACCUGGCCUAUUAUUCUUUCCCCCCACCCCCCAACAAAAUUGCUCUUUCUUUGUAGGCGAGGUUCUGAUGAUAUUAUGCUGCUGGAAACACAGAAAUUUACCCAACAUCCAAUGCUAUGAACGUGGGGCAGAGGAAAAAAAAGAAAACUAAACAGAACUCACAAUUGAGCCAAACAUGCAAACUGUGAUAGGAAUAUUUUCGAGUGCUUCUUGAAGAAUCUUCACACAAAACACCUCAACAAAUUCUAACAUGGGGAAUAAUGUCAGGAGGUUUAAUUCAGCGACAGAGUUUUUCUCACAGUGGGCUAAAGCCUGUAGAAAGGGAAAAGAGGGCCGGCAGUGUGCUCAGAUCUUCUGUGCUGCUUUGAAAAUCCUCCCCCAGAUUUUUGCUUUCAGGAAAAUCAGACAAACCCAGUAAUAAUAAUAAUAAAAGCAGGGCUCCAGGCCUGCUUCAGCUGAAGCCUGUGCCAAGAGGCUGUGUUGGUGUCACACAGAGAAGAAUUAGGCUGCAAUCCUGACAAGAAUUCUGCAGUCUUAAUCCAGAUCAGUGCAGGCUUUGCCUAAAUUGUAGUGAAUUUGUUAUCCCAUAAGGCAAAAUGAAGUGUCUGGAAAUAAUGGUGCGUGAGAAGCACCCUGUAAAUUACAGGCCUGGUUAUACUCGGAAAAGGCAGGAAAGGAAAUGCUCCUGCUUGGUCUGUUGUAAGUGUUGACCCAUGUGUUACUAUGAAGCAAGACAGAAGGUGUUCCAGUGAAAUUCUCCCCAGCAUUUCUUAAAUGUCAUUUUAAUGUAUAUUUGCAAUAAAUUUUAGUUGUACCUUUUUAUUUACAUUUAAAAUGGAGACAUAUUUCUGAACAAGGAAUCCUUCCUCUUGGUGAGAUAGAUAGUUUGUUAAAAAUAGCAGUAAUUAACACAAAACGCUUGUUGAAUUUUGGAUACAGUUGCACUUUGAUUCUUAGAAUGAUUUCAAUGUUGUCCUGUCCAUUUGCUUUCAUAAUACCAUUAGCUUUCACAGCUGGAUUUUCAAUUCACAUGAAAUAAUGGAAAUUUCUUGGAAGGACUCAUAGCAGAAAAUGUGAACUCAGGUUAAAGAAAAUGUCUCUGCGUUUCAAACUAAACCCAGGUGAAGCAUCGGCAAGCUGUGUUCUCUGCUAAUGCCUGCUGGCACCAUCUUCCACCCAAAUGGCUCAAGAAUGCAGUGCUGCAGUAGGAGAGGAGAGCGUCUUAGAGGAAGGCCUUCCUCUAGGAAAAAUCUGUACAGAACAGCACCAAAUCAGCCCAGCAGGGGAUAGCAGGGGAACCAACCCUGGUAUCCAACCCCAUUGUUUCCAGAGAGGGGUCUGUGGCAUUUCUAAAAGUGGCUGUGUGUAACCACGUAAUGGUAGGUCAGAGUCUGCUGUGAGCUUAGUGCAAGAAAUUGUGUAAAGUGCUGUCUCUUAAAUCGUUUGUGCCCAUAGCUAUUAGAAAAACUUUGAUAAGUUACCUCAGAACUUAACUGCUGAAACUACAGGAAUUUUACCUUGUGAAUUUAUUAUUAUUAUUUUUUAGGUGAAAUAUUGUUGGCCCUUUAGUCAAUGAUAAAGCUUCUGAUGUUUACAAAGGUCAGCCUUCAGCAGUUGUUUUUCAUGUGCUGCUUCUAGUGAAUUUGUCUAGAAAUGUAAUUUGGCAAAAAUAGCUAGGUUUUAUUUUUAGUGCAAAUGGCUCACAGUGAAUGCAAGACAGUUCCUGCUUCUUUAAAUGAAAUAAUGGCACAGUCUGCUGUCCUGUAGAGCCUCCUCAUGUUGCAGGAGUGACACUGGCAAGGAAAAAGGAUGUACAAAUAUGGGCUGUGUAAUGAGUUUUCAAACCACUGACCUAUCUAAAAGGUUAAUGUGGAACAAACCCGUUGCUUGAGCGGGUACUGUGUUGUGCUGCCAGUUGGCAGCCUGGGCAAUGGGAGUGGUUUGGCAGAAGCCAGUGGCUGUUGUGAAAGAAAACACAAACUUCUUGUGAGUGGUCCUGGUUAUGUCACUUUCCAAGCCUAGCCCUGCUCAUCAGGCUGAGCAACAGAAGUGUAGUCUGGGUAGAAAGCUUGCUUUUCCUAACAGUAAAAUACCACUGCCUUCUCCCAGCGAGAACCACAGUGAGAUUUAUGAAUCCAGAAAUACUUGUUGUUGCUUACGACUCAAGGGUAAUCAAAGCAAUUAGUAGUUCAGAGGAAAUGAAAAAUGGAUCUGCCUGAUGCAGUGAUCCUGUGUUUAGGUUUGUGAGCGAGAAGGACAAACUCAGGGAAGUAUAAAGCAGCAGCAGCAGUUAGGUAUCUGGAGCUCUGCACUCAAAUUGCAGCCUCAAAAGCAUCUUUGAUAACUUCAAGAGUAGUCCCAGAGUUGUUGUGAGAAAGAAGUUCUGAAGAGUACAAAAUAUCUCCUCUGAAUUUAGCAUUUGUGAAUGGUUUUUAGGAACCAGACAGUGUCAAUGGAAGUGUCCCAUGUUCCAUCAACCCACAGAAAUGGAGCUUGCUAGGACUGCUGCUGCAGAUGUAGGCAAGCGUAACCUGCAGGUGUCCUCAGCUGUUGGCCUUUCUGAUGUGAUUGCUAAGCAACGAUUAGCACUUACAUAACUACCAUUUGCACUGUCAUGAUGGUUUAAUCAGUCCUCACAACAGCCCUGUGAGGUAGGCAAGUAAGCUGCAAAAUGAGGAUGCUUAUCUUUGCUUUACAUGAACCAGACCAAGAGAUAGGAUUGCUGUUCUCAGUCCCAUUUCACAGAUGGGGAGGUUCAGCACAAAACUCUGAAAUGACUUGUCUGAGGCCAGAAAAUGAGUUCAGGAUUUUGCUGAGUUGCAGAUGUCUGGUCAGUAGGGCUUCUGUUUAUAUCUAUGCUAGAAUCAGUUCAAGGAAGAAUUUAACAUUUCACGUUUAGUUUUCACUUGAAUUCUCAAUCUACUCAAGGCAUGAGACAUGGGAAUGCACAAGUAACCUGUUAACUUAGUGAUCUGUUAAUAUCUGCCACUAGUCAUGCUAGAAGUAUUUAGUAACCUCAUAUUUACAGUAUUAGCUAUUUACUGAUAUGUAGAAAUGCACAUAGAGAACUACACGCCAUUUACUGCACACUAACAGCCUAUUUUCACAGGACAGUUUUCAUACACAAAGGAUUUUUUUAAUUAUUAACCAUUGCCACUGAACAUAAACUUUUUUUUUUAAGUUUAAAACAAGAUAUGCUUUAUACAAACCUGGUUCUGAAUCAAAAGCCUAUAUUGAAAAUACUCGACAGCUCCUUUCUGCUAAGCCUAACAUGCGAGAUUUCACUGGCAUCUGCACUUCAACGUGAAGCAUGGUUUCAAAGUUAAGAACAUACGAUGUACCAGUUCUUAUGUACUGUAUGUAAGAGUUCCUCCUGAGACAUGAGUUAAGAAUCACUUCUAAGACUGAAGUUAUUCCUACAAAGAAUUCUGAAUCCUUGAACCAGCAUCCAGUAACUUCGGGGAUUUCACAGCUUCAGUUUCACGCCAGCCUGAGUUAUAAAGAUGAUUUUUUAGCAAGGUUAUUUCCUUGUUGCCCAUUCCAUUUUGUCCAUUACAGGUGGAGGGAGUGCAGCUGGGUGCGUGUGUUAGCUUUCUUUUUUAAACAUCUCUAACAGGCGCUGCUUGUUGGAGAAAGCAUUCCCUUCUGUGGC